CCAAACGUGAACACUCCUUAGACUUGUCUGUGUCCUGUGGGCUUCGAGCAGCCUGGAUCCACUCAGAUCUUACAGUAUAAGGCUGUGCCAGGUUUUGGUGCCUAAAAUUUUUAUAAGUUCCAGCUUAGUCAUAGCUCUGUUAUGUGCUUUGGAGAAUUAAGGAGACAGUUGAGUCCACUGUGGGCCCUGAACAGUUUUGGAGGAGUGUCCCACAGGAAUGAAUGUGGGACAACAGUGUCAUGACAACAGUGUCACCCCCAAGAAGAGGAAUCCUGAGGACAAGUCGGCCAGGAAGCCUGUCUGUCUCUGAAGCAUGAAGUCCGAUGGACUGAACCUGGCCAGAGAGCUCACCUGCGUUGACUGACGUAGCAGGGAUGGAGAAAGCCAGCCCCGCCCCGCGCCUCUACCUCCCCUCUCUGACCGCAUGGAGCACUUGGUCUCCUCCUUCUCCUAAGCUGUGUUCAAGUAUUAUCCAUCUGCAGAUCAUUUUUUCCUUCUUCUUGAAGCAUAAAUGGCAU
This is a non-coding RNA of Marmota flaviventris (yellow-bellied marmot), 518 nucleotides long. Lineage: Eukaryota; Metazoa; Chordata; Mammalia; Rodentia; Sciuridae. The record is from RefSeq and is a predicted model, not a curated record.